UGAGUAAGUCAGAUGAUCGCGGGUACAAGCGCCGAAAGGCCGUACCUGAGGAAAGUCGGAGCUCCACAGGGCAGAGUGCUGGGUAACACCCAGUGGGGGCGACCCCAAGGAAAGUGCCACAGAAACAAACCGCCGGUCGCCAGACCGGUAAGGGUGGAACGGUGAGGUAAGAGCUCACCAGCAGUUGGGUGACCAACUGGCUAGGUAAACCCCACUUGGAGCAAGACCGAAUAGGAGGGCAAUGAAGUGGCCCGCUUCGCCCUCGGGUAAGGUCGCUGGAGGUGUCAGGCAACUGACAUCCUAGAUAGAUGAUCAUCACCUCGUCAAGAGGGACAGAACUCCGCUUACCGAUUUACUCGUCAC
This 363-nucleotide RNase P RNA is filed under the name Bacillota bacterium. Its description in RNAcentral is "RNase P RNA component class A". It matches the Rfam family "Bacterial RNase P class A". Rfam says of the family: Ribonuclease P (RNase P) is a ubiquitous endoribonuclease, found in archaea, bacteria and eukarya as well as chloroplasts and mitochondria. Its best characterised activity is the generation of mature 5'-ends of tRNAs by cleaving the 5'-leader elements of precursor-tRNAs. Lineage: Bacteria; Bacillati; Bacillota. The record is from RNAcentral.